Molecule: ribosomal RNA, 450 nt
Filed under: uncultured bacterium
Lineage: Bacteria
Description: bacterial SSU rRNA
Rfam family: Bacterial small subunit ribosomal RNA
Source: RNAcentral
CUCUGUGACUCCUACGGGAGGCAGCAGUGGGGAAUAUUGGACGAUGGACCAAAAGUCUGAUCCAGCAAUUCUGUGUGUUUGAUGAAGGCCUUCGGGGUUGUAAAGAACUUUCAGUGGGGAAGAAGCAAGUGACGGUACCCACAGAAGAAGCGACGGCUAAAUACGUGCCAGCAGCCGCGGUAAUACGUAUGUCGCAAGCGUUAUCCGGAAUUAUUGGGCAUAAAGGGCGUCUAGGCGGUCUAAUAAGUCUGAUGUGAAAAUGCGGGCUCAACUCCGUAUUGCGUUGGAAACUGUUAGACUAGAGUUUUGGAGAGGUAGGCGGAACUACAAGUGUAGAGGUGAAAUUCGUAGAGAUUUGUAGGAAUGCCGAUGACGAAGGUAGCUUACUGGACAAAUACUGACGCUGAAGCGCGAAAGCUAGGGGAGCAAACAGGAUUAGAUACCCUGUAG